RNAcentral lists this non-coding RNA (32 nucleotides) under Mus musculus (house mouse). The record is from RNAcentral. Lineage: Eukaryota; Metazoa; Chordata; Mammalia; Rodentia; Muridae.
UGCACACUUUGUGUCUGUGUGACAGGCAGCCC